AAAUUACUGCAUUUUUUUUAUUAGUUUCAAUUCACAUUUGAAUUAAUGUUGUCAGUAACUACCCCAAAGUCCCUUCUAAAUGUAGUCUUGUUUCCAUUGUUAAAGAUCAUACGUUUUUUUUCUCAUGUCACAGUAAGAUUUCUUUAUCAAUGGUUCAACACGGCAAAGUGCAAGGUUUUGCACUUGGGCCGGAAGAACCCCAGGCACCUGUACAGGCUGGGAGGAGUUGUCCUUGAGAGCAGCUCGGCAGAAAAAGACCUAGGGGUCCUGAUAGAUGAGAAACUUAACAUGAGCCAGCAGUGCGCUCUGGCAGCCCGGAAAGCAAAUGGGAUCCUGGGCUCCAUCAGGAGAGGGGUGGUCAGCAGGGAUAGGGAGGUGAUCGUCCCUCUCUACUCUGCUCUUGUGAGGCCCCAUCUGGAGUACUGUGUCCAGGUGUGGAGCCCUCAGUACAAAAAAGAUAUGGAGAUUUUGGAAAGGGUCCAGAGGAGGGCCACAAAGAUGAUCAGGGGGCUGGAGCACCUCCCCUAUGAGGACAGGCUGAGGGAGUUUGGUUUGUUCAGCCUGGAGAAGAGAAGGUUGCGGGGUGACCUCAUUGCAGCCUUUCAAUACCUGAAGGGAACUUACUCCCGGGAGGGGAGUAAACUCUUCGAAAGGGCUGAUAAUAGCAGGACUAGGGGAAAUGGUUUUAAGUUGAAGGAGGGAAGAUUUAGGUUGGAUGUUAGGGGAAAGUUCUUUACUAGAAGAGUGGUUAGGUCCUGGAACAGGCUGCCCAGUGAGGUUGUGGAUGCCCCGUCCUUGGAGGUGUUCAAGACCAGGUUGGACGGGGCCCUGGGCAACCUGAUCUAGUAAAGGCGUAUGUUUGGUGGCCCUGCCAGGCAGGGGGGUUGGAACUACAUGAUCCUUGAGGUCCCUUCCAACCCGGGUAAUUCUGUGAUUCUGAGAUUCUGUGAUUCUGUGUCUUGGUAUUUGCUGGCUAUAGUACUACCAAGUCUUACUGUAC
Molecule: long non-coding RNA, 1000 nt
Filed under: Coturnix japonica (Japanese quail)
Lineage: Eukaryota; Metazoa; Chordata; Aves; Galliformes; Phasianidae
Description: lncRNA (ENSCJPG00005004612.1)
Source: RNAcentral